UUUUUUUUUUCCUUGUCUUUUUGCUAUUUCUUGGGCCGCUCCUGCGGCAUAUGGAGGUUCCCAGGGUGCAGCCCUAAAAAGACAAAAGACAAAAAUAAAAAAAAAAAAUAAAGUCAGCUUUGGGCCCUUUCUUGGAAGGGAGAGAAAAUCAUUUCAGUUAAGGGAUAUGUGGGAAUGAAAAGUUCUAUAUGCUGUACAUUGGUACAUGUGUUCUCUUUCUGUGUGUGUAAGCAUACACACUUGCAAAGCACUAAGGGAGGCUCAGGAUCUAAGUGUGAACACUUCCCUAAGUACAUUGUUGGCGCAUAUGAAAAAGGAACAUUUUGACCAGAAUUGCUUUCCACAUACCUGCCAGCCAAGUGAUCCUGGAAGGAAAAUAUAUUGCUGGAGUAGCUUCAGAAUCUCCCAGUUGGGCUAAGCUGAGCACACUCUAUCCUGUCCUAGCUAAGAGGUGCUACGGAGGAAUUAAUCAGUUGGUCAGCUGGAUUAUUUUAAAAAAUGGUAAAGAUGGGAUUCAGGUGUUUGAGUACAAGGUUAUACCCACUUCCAAUUGGAUUAGAUGCACAGAAAAGCUCUAAUUAAAUCACAGACAAGGCAGCAAAGGAACAUCAAGAGUUAGCCUUAAUGGAAUACUCCAAGGAUUUCCUCAAGGUCUAUAUAUUUGAUAAUACAUCUUCAUUUUCCUAAUUGUGCUUUUUAUAUUCUUCAGAUACCUUAUGAAAGUGGAAGUGGGGGUUGACAUUUUUUAACAAAGACCUGUAUAUCCAUGAAAAUGGAAAUACUUAAUUUGAGUUUUUAGGUACACAGGUCUUGAGUAAUCUUAACAUUAACAGAAUUUUGGAAUCCUCAGGCAGAGAUAAUAUUGAGCUUCUGAGCAUGCCAGGACUAACAGAUUGAUUCUCAUUAGGCCAGCACACUGUUGCUUAUAUUAUGCUGGGUGGUCAGCCUAGUUGCAGGGAAGGGGAGCAAGCAUACUGUAAAUGAGUUUUUGCAAAGGCAUUCAGAGCAUGGAAGCCAGUUUAGUUAACACAAUAAAAUAAUUAGCUAUAAAACUCUGUAAAUGGGAUUUCAGACGGAGGACAGUAGGACAGAGAGGGUCAGAAGUUAGAGAGCAAUGGGAUCUAAGCAUUGGCUAUGAGAAGACUUCAGAGCCCUCCAGGUGAGUCAUAUCCUGAUUUAAAUGUUAAAAUGCUAUUAUGUGCAAUGCAAAGCUCUUUAUUAAUUAUGCUUACGUGCAGAUUAAAAGAACUGUUCAUAGACCUCAGCAUCAGAACUUGAAAGAAAACAUUAAAGAUAAAGAUAUAUAGUGCGCUUAUAUAAUAUAUUAGUAUUAUAUACACAUAUAAGAUUAUAAACUUGGGAAUUUUCACAUCUACACACUUUUGAACCAGAGGAAACGGAGCACAUUUUGUCAAAUUUAAGAGCCUCUUUAAUCAUGCUGGGUGCUUGGCAUGAAGCCACACUGAACUUUGGAAAUUAUAAAAUUUGUUUACCCUGAGUAAAAUACAAUUUCCUGUUUAGGGGCCUGGGAGGAAGAAAGCCUUUUAAAAGAGGGUUGUUGAAAUCUCCUAAAGUGUCCUUGGACAGUGAGAAAACAAUAGUUGGCUGCAUUAAGUGCAAAUGUAAUAGAAACAUAGGGAUUAUAUUUCACUUAAAGUACACAUGAAUGUAAAAGUUCAGGAAGGGAGAGAUUUGGUUUUGCUGAAAUAAAAUAGUUGAAAAAUGGUUGGUGACAUUUGACAAACUCAAGAUGUGACCAUAUUGUCAACCUCUCCUGGAAAUGAACUCUUACCUGCAUAAAACAAGGGGCCCUGUGCUUUAAAUCAUUUCACAGUACUGGACCAUCGUAACUUAUGGAAACCGUGGAAAGUUUUAGGGUGACACAAAUUCACCAGUAAGACUCUCCAGAUACAAAGGGAGGGACCUCAGUAGUAACUGAUUCUUUGACGUUUUAUCAGUUCCACAGGGAAGAUAUUUUAACAGAGGUACAAAGACUGACCUUUGACUGGUGGAAGUCAGGGGUGGUGAAAAAGAGGUUAGCCAUCCUUUCAGGCUGGAUUCCUACCAUAAGGCGGGAAGCCAUGGGCUUAGGGUCUAACAGGAAGUGGGUGGGAAUUUCCAGGAAAGGAUGAAGUGGGAGGAAGGAAGUGGAAGAGGAGGAUGGGGGAGAAAAGAACAAGGGAGCCAAAGGUGACCAGACAAAUAAAUGAAAGAUAUGCAAGUGAGAGGAAGGGGUCAGAGCCAUCUCAUCCUGAUUUAGAAGAUAUCCAGAAACAAAAGCUGGUGAAAACGCUUCUAAACCCCCAAACAAUUAACUUGGCAAGGAGACAAGGCCACUCCUCUAAGAAAAAAACAUUAAAAAUAAAGUAGGUAAUAAACCCACCUUCCUAAACACAUGGUGAGGAGCUAAUCCAAUAGAGCCUCUUUCUCCCAAUCAUACUUAUUUAGCCUUACACACAGGUUUUGUUCUCUCUCCAAAAAAGAUGGCAUCUGUUCAACAGGUGACAGCUGCUUACUGUGAUACACAAAUUCUUAAAAUCACACUAUUUGCCCAUUUUUCCAUCAUCAUCCAUUUUGUCACCAAAGAUCAUGAGGAAAAAGGCCUCCUAAAUUACUAUUCUAUUUUGGGAGGAAUCAGAGAGGACUCUGAGCAAGAAGCCAAAAUCUGUUUUCUAUUGUGAAGAUACUCAUUGAUUUAAAAACCCUGAAGGUAAGUGGGAAGUAGAAAAAGGAGGUCAUAUGAAAGCAAAAAAAAAAAGUAAACAAAAGAAAAAAAACCCCAACAAAAUGAAAACAUCCUACUUUUUCUUUCAAAACCCAGUCUCAGCCAGUGGUCAGCGAGUUUGAGCAGCACAGGUCAGGAGCCAUUUCCAUCUGCUCUGAAACCCAGGAUGGAAAAGCCAACUAAUUCAGUAGAUAAUGAGGCUUUCAAUAGUUGGUACCAAGCUACACUUCCUAAAUUGUAAGCCAGGUGCUCAAUUAGCUCUUCUUUAAAAAAAAAAAAAAAAAUCUUUUUUAAAAAACUUCAUCAUGGUAAGAACACUUAGCAUGAGAUCUAUCCUCUUAAUAAAUUUUUAAGUGCACCAUAUAAUAUUGUUGACUCUAGGUUGAAUGGUGUACAGCAGAUCCCUAGAACAUAUCCAUCUUGCUUAAGUGAAACUUUAUGCCUGUCGAUUAGUAACUCCACUGCUG
RNAcentral lists this long non-coding RNA (3192 nucleotides) under Sus scrofa (pig). RNAcentral describes it as "lncRNA (ENSSSCG00065072282.1)". The record is from RNAcentral. Lineage: Eukaryota; Metazoa; Chordata; Mammalia; Artiodactyla; Suidae.